GUAGUCAUAUGCUUGUGUCAAAGAUUAAGCCAUGCAUGUCUAAGUAUAAGCAAUCAUACUGUGAAACUGCGAAUGGCUCAUUAAAUCAGUUAUCGUUUAUUUGAUAGUACCUUUACCUGGAUAACCGUGGUAAUUCUAGAGCUAAUACAUGCUAAAAACCCCGACUUCGGAAGGGGUGUAUUUAUUAGAUAAAAAAACCAUGCCUCUGGGCGCCUUGGUGAUUCAUAAUAACUUAACGAAUCGCAUGGCCUUGCGCCGGCGAUGGUUCAUUCAAAUUUCUGCCCUAUCAAUUUUCGAUGGUAGAGUAGUGGUCUACCAUGAUCUUAACGGGUAACGGGGAAUUAGGGUUCUAUUCCGGAGAAGGAGCCUGAGAAACGGCUACUACAUCCAAGGAAGGCAGCAGGCGCGCAAAUUACCCAAUGCUAAUUCAGCGAGGUAGUGACAAUAAAUACUGAUACGGGGCUCUUUCGGGUCUCGUAAUUGGAAUGAGUACAAUCUAAAUCCCUUAACGAGGAACAAUUGGAGGGCAAGUCUGGUGCCAGCAGCC
This 547-nucleotide ribosomal RNA is filed under the name Cladophialophora carrionii. Its description in RNAcentral is "SSU rRNA". It matches the Rfam family "Eukaryotic small subunit ribosomal RNA", at positions 20 to 575 of the family's 1831-position model. The record is from RNAcentral. Lineage: Eukaryota; Fungi; Ascomycota; Eurotiomycetes; Chaetothyriales; Herpotrichiellaceae.